GAGCGGAGGAGGAAGGGGAGGAGGAGCGGCGAGCGGUAGCCACGACCGCCACCACCAGGCAGAGGAAGAGUUCGUGAGGAGGGAAAGACCCUCCUCCCACUUGGAGCGCGUGGUGUCAGCUUUUGGGAAAAGAGAAUACAAGAUAAAGGAGGAGACGGAAAGAAGAAGAAGGAAAAAAAAAGUGACGGGGGAAAGAGAGAAAAAAGGAGGUGAACAGAAAGGGCCAGAGCGUGCAGGGAGCCGGAGGCGCGGGGGCGGCAGUGCGGAGCCCGGAGCGCUGCCUCUUGGGCAGGUGCCGCGGCCACUGCCCGGAGGCGGCAUGUGACGCGCGGUCGCAGCUGCCCGCGGCCGGAGCGCUCUCGGACCCGGGAGCGCACACCGUGGAGCAACUCGGUGCCAUCCCGGAUCCCCACGCUCCUCGUCAGUUCGCCGGCGCGGCAGCACCGCUUCUGGAAAGACGGGCGAUGAGCCGAAGGGCGGCUCCGGGCAUGGGCGCACAGUCUUAGGACUCUCGUUCCCUGAACGCCGAGCAGGAGGCGACGAAGGGAAGGUGGACCGGGCGCCCCCCGCGCAUCGGGGAGGAGCGAACAACCUGCGUUGGGACGGCCACCUGGAGCGCAGCGGCCAGAUCUGAAUAGUGAUGGCACAUAUUUCGGUUACGAGUUGCUCAGUGCACCAUGGAUUGACUGAAGUGUAUCCAUUCCCAUCAUGAUGUACACCACUGAGGCUCUUCACUACACCUGUGUUCUGAUUAGAGGCCAAAGGACAUUCAGAACUUCCGCUAAGGUACUGUAAG
This is a non-coding RNA of Ceratotherium simum simum (southern white rhinoceros), 796 nucleotides long. The record is from RefSeq and is a predicted model, not a curated record. NCBI's taxonomy places the organism in Eukaryota, Metazoa, Chordata, Mammalia, Perissodactyla, Rhinocerotidae.